UGUAUCUGAAGUCUGACGAGGAUGAGAACCUCCGGGGGCAAGAGGUUCGACUCGAGCGAAGCGAGAGAACGUUGCGUCAGCAACGGC
RNAcentral lists this small RNA (87 nucleotides) under Salmonella enterica subsp. enterica serovar Thompson. Its description in RNAcentral is "partial RtT sRNA". It matches the Rfam family "RtT RNA", at positions 1 to 83 of the family's 130-position model. Rfam says of the family: This family represents a bacterial cis-regulatory element known as RtT RNA. The record is from RNAcentral. Lineage: Bacteria; Pseudomonadati; Pseudomonadota; Gammaproteobacteria; Enterobacterales; Enterobacteriaceae. RNAcentral also lists the same sequence under 6 other names.